Molecule: ribosomal RNA, 467 nt
Filed under: uncultured bacterium
Lineage: Bacteria
Description: partial 16S ribosomal RNA
Rfam family: Bacterial small subunit ribosomal RNA
Source: RNAcentral
AUUGAACGCUGGCGGCAUGCUUUACACAUGCAAGUCGAACGGUAACAGGCCUUCGGGUGCUGACGAGUGGCGAACGGGUGAGUAAUGCAUCGGAACGUGCCCAGAGGUGGGGGAUAACGCAGCGAAAGCUGUGCUAAUACCGCAUGUGAUCUGAGGAUGAAAGCGGGGGACCAGGCAGCAAUGUUUGGCCUCGCGCCUUUGGAGCGGCCGAUGUCAGAUUAGGUAGUUGGUGGGGUAAAGGCCUACCAAGCCGACGAUCUGUAGCUGGUCUGAGAGGACGACCAGCCACACUGGGACUGAGACACGGCCCAGACUCCUACGGGAGGCAGCAGUGGGGAAUUUUGGACAAUGGGCGCAAGCCUGAUCCAGCAAUGCCGCGUGCGGGAAGAAGGCCUUAGGGUUGUAAAGCUCUUUUACCCGGGAUGAUAAUGACAGUACCGGGAGAAUAAGCUCCGGCUAACUCCGUG